ACGAACUCUGGUAUUGAUUGGUGCUUGCAUCAUGAUUUACAUUUGAGUGAGUGGCGAACUGGUGAGUAACACGUGGGAAACCUGCCCAGAAGCGGGGGAUAACACCUGGAAACAGAUGCUAAUACCGCAUAACAACUUGGACCGCAUGGUCCGAGUUUGAAAGAUGGCUUCGGCUAUCACUUUUGGAUGGUCCCGCGGCGUAUUAGCUAGAUGGUGGGGUAACGGCUCACCAUGGCAAUGAUACGUAGCCGACCUGAGAGGGUAAUCGGCCACAUUGGGACUGAGACACGGCCCAAACUCCUACGGGAGGCAGCAGUAGGGAAUCUUCCACAAUGGACGAAAGUCUGAUGGAGCAACGCCGCGUGAGUGAAGAAGGGUUUCGGCUCGUAAAACUCUGUUGUUAAAGAAGAACAUAUCUGAGAGUAACUGUUCAGGUAUUGACGGUAUUUAACCAGAAAGCCACGGCUAACUACGUGCCAGCAGCCGCGGUAAUACGUAGGUGGCAAGCGUUGUCCGGAUUUAUUGGGCGUAAAGCGAGCGCAGGCGGUUUUUUAAGUCUGAUGUGAAAGCCUUCGGCUCAACCGAAGAAGUGCAUCGGAAACUGGGAAACUUGAGUGCAGAAGAGGACAGUGGAACUCCAUGUGUAGCGGUGAAAUGCGUAGAUAUAUGGAAGAACACCAGUGGCGAAGGCGGCUGUCUGGUCUGUAACUGACGCUGAGGCUCGAAAGUAUGGGUAGCAAACAGGAUUAGAUACCCUGGUAGUCCAUACCGUAAACGAUGAAUGCUAAGUGUUGGAGGGUUUCCGCCCUUCAGUGCUGCAGCUAACGCAUUAAGCAUUCCGCCUGGGGAGUACGGCCGCAAGGCUGAAACUCAAAGGAAUUGACGGGGGCCCGCACAAGCGGUGGAGCAUGUGGUUUAAUUCGAAGCUACGCGAAGAACCUUACCAGGUCUUGACAUACUAUGCAAAUCUAAGAGAUUAGACGUUCCCUUCGGGGACAUGGAUACAGGUGGUGCAUGGUUGUCGUCAGCUCGUGUCGUGAGAUGUUGGGUUAAGUCCCGCAACGAGCGCAACCCUUAUUAUCAGUUGCCAGCAUUAAGUUGGGCACUCUGGUGAGACUGCCGGUGACAAACCGGAGGAAGGUGGGGAUGACGUCAAAUCAUCAUGCCCCUUAUGACCUGGGCUACACACGUGCUACAAUGGAUGGUACAACGAGUUGCGAACUCGCGAGAGUAAGCUAAUCUCUUAAAGCCAUUCUCAGUUCGGAUUGUAGGCUGCAACUCGCCUACAUGAAGUCGGAAUCGCUAGUAAUCGCGGAUCAGCAUGCCGCGGUGAAUACGUUCCCGGGCCUUGUACACACCGCCCGUCACACCAUGAGAGUUUGUAACACCCAAAGUCGGUGGGGUAACC
This 1408-nucleotide ribosomal RNA is filed under the name Lactiplantibacillus plantarum. RNAcentral's name for it is "bacterial SSU rRNA". It matches the Rfam family "Bacterial small subunit ribosomal RNA", at positions 66 to 1440 of the family's 1533-position model. Lineage: Bacteria; Bacillati; Bacillota; Bacilli; Lactobacillales; Lactobacillaceae. RNAcentral also lists the same sequence under 1 other name. The record is from RNAcentral.